GAUGAACGCUGGCGGCGUGCCUAAUACAUGCAAGUCGAACGAUCGGCCGCGAAGCUUGCUUCUCUGCUGUUAGCGACGGCCUGACGAGUCACCCGUGGAUAACCUACUUAUCAUCCUGAGGUAACUUCGAGACACCAGAGCUAGUCCCGUCUAAUAUUUUGAACCACAUGGUUCACAAGUGAAAGACGGUCUUGCUGUCACUUAUAGAUGGAUCCGCGCUGCAUUAGCGAGUUGGUAAGGUAAUGGCGUACCAAGGCAACGAUGCAUAGCCGACCUGAGUGGGUGGUCUGCCAGGCUGGAACGUAGACACGGUCCAGACUCCUGCGGGAGGCAGCAACAGGGAAUCGUACGCAGUGGGCGAAAGCCUGACGGAGCAGCGCCACGUGGGGGAGGAAGGUCUGCGGUGCGGAAAACUCUGUUAUUAGGGAAGAACACAUGGGCAAGUAACUGUGCAGAGCGAGACGGUACCUAAUCAGAAAGCAACGGCUAACUACGUG
RNAcentral lists this ribosomal RNA (497 nucleotides) under uncultured bacterium. RNAcentral describes it as "partial 16S ribosomal RNA". It matches the Rfam family "Bacterial small subunit ribosomal RNA", at positions 28 to 507 of the family's 1533-position model. The record is from RNAcentral.